CCAAAGUCGCAUCGAAGUGAGAUUGAAGGAUUGAAAAGUCGAGAUUUUUUGUGAUGGCCGACUUUCCGACGGUUCGUCAAAUUGAUCGAAGAACUGCAGUGUUGUUGUGUAUAACUUUUCUUCUUUCCUUUUCCGUGUGGAUUUUCAUCAUAUUCUUCGUCCGCAUCAGUGAAUAGUUUGCAGAACUUAUCACUUUUUGACCAGUGAGUUCGACGAAUUUACAUCACAAUGGCGUCUUUGGCUGCAGCCCAGUUGCUGGAUGAGUUGAUGGGUAGAAAUAGAAAUUUAGGCCCAAAUCAGAAAUCUAAAGAGCUUCACUGGGAGGACCCUGAGUUUUGCAAAUACUUCCUGGUCAAAUUUUGCCCUCAUGAUUUGUUUGUCAAUACGAGAGCAGAUCUGGGACCAUGUCCCAAAGUGCAUGAUGAUCUGGCUAAAGAACAGUUCGACAAGUCCACAAGUUACCUGAAGACGCAGUAUGAAGAUGACUUCCUGCGCUUCGCCCAAGGCAUGUUAAAUGAAGUUGAGCGAAAGAUCGCCAAAGGCAAACAACGCCUUGCACUAAUGGAAGCCAAGGAGUCUCCGUCAUCUUUAUCCCCAGCCCAGACUCAAAAAAACAUGGAACAAAUCAAUCUCCUGUCUGAAAAAAUCAACAAUUUAGUCAACGAAGCUGAACAAAUGGGUAUCGAAGGUAAUGUUGAACAAGCUCAAGGAUUGAUGAAACUGAAGGAUCAGUUAGAGGAAGAACGGGAAGCCUUGCGCAAACAAAAUGACAACAGUCAUUGGAGUCAGACGGCGGAGCUUGCAGCAGCUCAAGAAAAACAAAUGGAGGUUUGUGAAGUUUGUGGAGCGUUCCUUAUUGUUGGUGAUGCCCAGUCACGUAUUGAUGACCAUCUAAUGGGAAAACAGCAUGUUGGUUACGCAAGAUUAAAAGGAGCUGUUGAGGAGCUUAAUGUUAAAAGAGAAAAAGCUCGGGAGGAAAAAGAAAAACGUAGAAAUGAAGAAAGAGAGAAGCAUCGUAAUAGUCGGGAUCGAUGGACAGAAGAAAAACGAAAAAUUAGUGAAAAAGAGGAAAGGAGGAGCCAUCAUAGGGAUCCGACCGCAAGAAAAAAUUCCAGCCCUAACGGGAGAAGUAUAAGGGACCGAGAAAGAGAGAAAGACAGAGAGAAAGACGUUAAAUCACGCCACCGAGACCGUGACCAUGAUGGUCGCCACAGCUCUCGAAGUUCUCAUGGGCGUCAUAGGAGCAGAAGUCCCUUGGAUCGUGGUCGAGACAAGGACCGCCACAGAGAUCGAGGUAGUAGAGGAAUGAAUGGACACAAUGAUCGACACAGUUCGAGUAGAAGUGAUCGUGACAGGCAUCGAGACCGGGACCGCAGGUAGACGAGGUGACUUCUGUGAUGGUCAGUGUUUACUGCGUUUCCAGGUAAGUCUAUUCUAGCCUUACUACGUAGCUCAAGGAAAGUCUUGCAAUAAUUUUUUAGUAAACCAAUCCCAUCCCCUCUCAGCUAUGAGCCUGGUUUAAAAAUUCAUAUUCACGUUUCUCCGUACCUCACAAAUUUAUUGCCCACCAAGACAUGUGCAAUCGUCAGUUGAUUGCAUAUGUAAGCUUGAUUUUGCAACAAAGUGACUUUCAAAACGAGUCAUAUUUUUAAACGCCAUUUUUGUAGGUUGAGUGCACUACCUGACUUAUCCAACUGUCCCACAGUUUUCACCUGUCCUCUUUUAAAAGACCUUAGAAGACGCAAUGCAUUUUGAUUUUCAAAGAAUUAAGUAACAAACCUUGUUUCUGAAAUUUUUGAUGAGAGAGCUGCAGAAAUUCUUUACCUUGCGAGACAGUUACAAAGAUAACACUGACGGUCUCCACUAGAAUCAGUCCUAAAAAUCACCCCCUGUCCCAGGCAAGUCCCUGCUAGACUGAAGAUAGUUACAAUUCGUUUUUUGAUAUUAAAAGCCCACAAAACCCAUGAGAUUUUCAAAUUUUACCACUGAUUUCUUUGAGAUCUGUCUAUAAACUGCAAAUUGAUAGUUUUCAUUACUGCCUCCCAUCAUUGAAUACUCUAAGUGCAAGACUUUCCUAGCGAUUGAUGCUAACAAGCCCGCUUAUUUCAACAGGAUCCUAACUCAGGUAAGCGCGCGUCAUUGUCAGUCACUAUUUUAAGUGACACUUUGUCUGUGCGUUUGCAGUCUGAUUUAAUUUAAUCAUAAUUUUCUCUCUGGUGCAUUUUGAUCUAUAUUCACCAAUGUGCACUUAUUUAGUGAAGAUCAAUUUAGUGGCUCAGUCAUCAAUUUUUAUCUCAGUUUGAUGGUUCGAAUGUGAGCGGACAUAUAACCUUGUCAUAUUUGCACUAUGGUUGUAAAAUGCACUCAGGUGUUCCUUGCAAUUGAAAUUUCUUGUGUGUAAUAAAUCAUUAGUUGAUUUAUGACUUCUUAAUGAUAUCGUUUCAAGAAAUUUACACAUUAAUUCAUGCCAAAUUUGGACAUGAGGGUAUGUUUGUUUUAGUUUGAUCCAUCGCAAAUUAAUCAUGCGAUAUAUUGCAAUUAUUGUACAUUGACACAUCGAAUGUUGUGAGAAUGACGUAGCCACUAAAUCAGUCUAUGAGUUGAGAGGACUGAGUGUGUAUCCAAGUUAUUCUCCCAUGCAAUAGGAGGAUGCAUAGUGCCAGAUAAUUCACAAAUUAUUCUCCCAAUUUUUUUUUUUUUUUUUCACGUAUUGAAGGUUUCAGCAGGGCUUCAUAUUAUGAAGCAAGAAAAAACCUUUUGAUGCAAAGGGUGCAUCUAACUCUCAUAGUAUAUUCCUAAUUUUUUGUAGAUAGAAAAGAAAAAAUGGAAUCAAUGCAAAAUUUUCAGACUUAAUUUUGUUUUUAUAAAUCAAUUUCAAGUUAUGGAAGAAAUUUUGAGAUUUAUUCUAAUUUCCGUAACCAAACUAAGACUCAACACGCCAUCCCUCAGAUUUUUUAAUUUUUUAAAAAAAAUGUCUCAUAUCUGCCCCAUGCCCUUGGUUUUUCCCCUUUUUUCUUUCCUUUUUUUCUUCUAUUACCAGACCUGCUUUAGAUUGGCAGCAGUUACUGUUCAUUGAUAUUUUGAUUUAUGUAAAGAGUCUCCUCAAUUUUUUACGAAGGCUCUCUCAGUAUAUAUUUGAAAGAGAAUCAUCCAACUUUGCUGUGUGGUGAACCAUCAUAUCAGGCAACAUGAGUUUUCUCGAGGUAAGCCCAAAUGAACUAAAAUAAAACUACCCGCUGACAAGAUCAGAUCGACUUUUGUCAUAUGUGAAGCAAGUCGGUGUGGCUCGCAAGAUGUCUUCAAAUGACUCAAUCCUGCAUCUGUUUUCAUCCCCUUGAAUUUCAACAAAAUCUCUUCAUUGUGAUGGGAAGGUACAUAUAUUUGAAAAAUAAAGAGGAACGAAUUUUCCGUUAUUAGGAUUUAUCGUUUGUCAAAAAAAGAACUGCUUUUGGCAAGUAAAGAGAAGAAGAAUACAUUUUUUGUGGUGGGGAAAAAAAUUUAAGAGUGGAAGCAAUCAAUUGCAGAUGGGAAUAUUGUUUCUGAUUGCAUUAAUUUUUGUAGGUGUCGUUUCUAAAAUCUAAUGUAUACCAUUAGAUCUGAUUCAUCUUAAAAAAUCAUUUAUCUCCUACAAAAAAGUGCAAAUUCUAUGCAGAAGUAUACCACUUCUCUGCGCCGCUAUCAGUCGUUAUGUCCAUUCAUAAUUUUUUUUUUUCGUUUCUUCUCUGUUACUCCAUCUGUCUAUCUUUCUCUCUUUUUCAAGCAAAAUUUGGUUGCUUUCAAAAUAUAUUAAGAUUCUAGCUGUAUUUUAGAGUUUCCAAGUGUGGGAACUGCUCCAUUGCAGUCUGUGAUAACUUUGAAUCAGUAAUUCGCGUACGGCAAUUGGUAUGAAUCGAGGUUAGUGCAAGCACAUUAUUACUCCAUCAUAUCAAUUUUAGGAUACACUCUCUUUGACCAUUUAUGUUAUAAUGUCAGUUCAUUCCCCCUGUUAGAUGAUUGGACAGCAUCAAUAUUCUCUCAAUAAAUCAAGAAGAAUACACCCCUAUUUUGUGAUGGGAUUUCCUCUAUCCAAAAUGUUUCCAAAGUUUUAGUUGACCUCUAAGUAGCAAUGAAAAAGGAUCACACAAACUGCUCGCUCAUUGGUCGCAAAUGGGUAACUUAAGUGCUUAUAAAUUUUUCUGGAACGUGUUACAACUCGUUUUUAAAACAUAUCUAUCAUUAAACUAAAAACUCUUUGGUUUUAUAUCAACAUGUCAGUUGUUUCCACUGGUAACAAUCUUCAAUCUAUGGCUCAGUUAGACCUACGACCAAACAUGCUAGUGUGACUUAGCUGACUAAUAAUUAGAACACACUUAGCAUAACCACCGCAACUGAUUACCAAUGUGUAGAUGAGGAGUACUAAGUUAGGAUUUUUUUCUUUUUCUUUUCCUUUUUUUUGCAAGCAAAUAUAUGCUUGCGUACUUACCCUUUUUUGCCAAUUUUAAAUCCAAUCGGCAUGACCUUGACAGAUAAUAAUAAUAUGUAAUGUAAUCCAAGCUGAGAAUGAAAAGACUCUAUGAGGAAAAUGUUUAUCCUUGCGGACUCGCUAAACCUGGAAAAUUUUAAAAGACCAAACUAAACAGAGGUUUUGAGUUGACUCGAGUAAUUCAGCCUUAACCCAGCCUUAAUUCAUUUUAUUUUUCUCAGUUCUUACUAAAAUGGUUUCACUUAACAAUUGAAAUGGUGAUUUUGAUCAAGGCCAAGCAGUCUCUAACCACAAUCAGGAAGGAAUAUCCCCUUAGCCUUUUUAAAAUGCUGUUGCAACGUAUGCAAGGUAGAGAAGAUACCUAAAAUUCUCUAAUUUAAUGAAGAAACUUACUUCAGAGAGUGCAAAAAUUCAAAGUUACACCUCAAUGUUUAUUGUCAAAUUGCUAUUUUAGCCAAGUCAGUCAAGUUAGUUGGUUUAUAAUUAAACGUUCCAAAUUGGAGUCUCUUUCAUUGUCAAUUAUUUUUAUGUGGUAAAAGUAUAGAGAAAAUCAUAUGAGCAUUCAUGUGGUAUUACGCUGCUUUAUACAUCAAAGUUUUAUUGAGGGGUUUGAAGCUAUUGUGUAGACCAAACGUUUUGCAAAUGCUUUCAAUCAUGCUCAUGGACUUCCCAUCAGUUCAUCAUACUACAGGAUUAUCUAUGUCCGUACCUAGAGCUUUUUGAAAAUAAUUUAAGGCAAGGACAUUAAUUAGGAGGGGGUAUUUUCCUCUCUCCUCCAUUUUAAGUUUAACCUUUUCUUGGGCAGUUUUAAUUAAAUUCAAAGAAUUUUUUGAUGUCUUCCAUCUGCCUUCCUUUUAGGCAUAUUUGGUCUCUGUCCAAGCUCUUAUGUGAUGACCUUGGUUUUAAGUGGUAGAAAGAAAUGCAAAAUGCAAUCUGUAACUUUUAAAAUAACUCAUCAUGAAUGACGAGGACUUGUUCUUUUGAUUUGGACUGAUCCACCUUGCCUACUCAUUAAUGGAUCCACAAAAAGUCGGCGAGAACUUUAUUGGAGUUUUGUAGGGUUAUUCAGUUUUUUGUCAAAAAUGUACAUUGGUUGGUCCAAAGUAUACACAACCUCCCUACGUUUUGAACGACAAAUUUUGUACCACCUGGCAUACCCUUAAUGUUCAGGAAAUUUUACCAACAUGUGUCAGGGUAAUGUUGAGGAAUUUCAUUCUCUGAAUUCUGUGGCAACCGUAAUUUUUAAUGUCAGUUUGAGUCAAAGGACAUUGGUAGAGAAUUGUUUUGUGUAAUUAAAUUGGUUUUUCAUGUUGGUAAAACAAAUCUAAAAUUAUUGCCCAAGACUUUGUAUGUGGUAGGAACUGAUCCUUUUAUUUUUUCCGCCUUUCUUUCCACCUUUAAAAUAUGUUACUUUGUUUUAAAGGGCCAGGUCGAAGAAAGUGAAAAGUAAUUUACUUGUUAAUCUGUUUUCAGGGUUUGUACUCAUUUUUAAAGGGGCAGGCGGUAAAACGGUUUAUUGUGCUUGUCGUCAGUGUUUUACUGUUGGUACUUUCGAGGCAAUCAACGCAGCCUUUGCUCCCGUUUAGGCUCACAUCUUGCAGGGUUUAAUGUGAUGUGACAAAAGAAGUAAGUGAAAUCCCUCGGAUACUCCAAUGCUUUAGCCGACCUCUUUUCUAGAAACUUAUGAAGCCUACUCUCGCUAUUUUCAGGUGAUGACUACUAUCUUUGUAAUUAUUGUCAGUAGCUACAUAGCUGAAAUAUUUCUUUAAUUGCACUUUCUUUGAUGAAGUCAAUUAACACUAAAUAUAAAUUCCAACCUUGAUGUGAAUUUGGCAGCAACUUUCUUCACUCAGAAUAUUUGUUUUAGAUUUUGUCAAAAUCUCUCAGAAAAUUAUUAAGUUAUGUCCGGUACUGUCCAAGACUCAAAUUCCUUUAAAAUCACGCCUGAAACUUUUAAAAUGAGGAGACAAUUAGUUAAUGAGAAUGCACUUCUUGUAAAAUUUGAUGCAACUUAAAGGUACCUCUCCUUAUUCUUUUAAAAAAGUCUGACAAGGGAUUUUGAAAGCGCUUGAGCUAUGUUGAAGCGUUUCUUUUCAUACUGCAAGUCCAGCAAAAUUUGAACCCCUGUGAGGAGGACUUGAUUACGUUCAGACAUUUUUCCUUAAGCUAGUGUUAGUUACCAUGACGGAAGAGGAAGUUGAUCAAAGUAAUGACAAAUAAAUGGUAGCAGUCCUCGUGUGAAAAGGAUUUUCCUGUUUAGGAUUUGUUGUGUUGAUGAACAAGAGUGGAUAACUUAUGUUCGCCUUGAUGUAAUUCAUUGCCUACCCUAUUUACGGAGUUCGAGGUUCAGGUCUUGAUUGGAACUAAUCUCAUGGAAGUGUCUCAAUUAGACUCGGGAGCUUUUAUUUGCUCUUGGAACAUUCAUUCAGGUCGAUAAGAAGAGUGACUCGCAUUAGUUGUAUAAAAUUCUACCAAGAGUGUGUCCGCUAAGCAUAUUGUCCCCAUUUUAUAGGUAUGAAAAAGUUGGACCCAAAUUUUAUAUCUUACAAAUCUAAAAUUUGUAGCGUUCUAAUCGAUUUUAUAGCAAGACUUUAGAAUUUUAUAGAGAGGGUACUAGUGCCAUAAGUUCAAAUUAAUAUUAACCAGUCAUCUUAUUCCUGUGUCAAUUUCUAAGUACACUUAUUCCUGUUGUACAUUUUUUUUUGUAAAUUUAGCAUCCCAAAGGUGGGAGAAAUUUCUCAGCGCUUAGUUUAUGAGGUAACCUUUUAUUUUCAAUUUUUUUGCCGAUGUGUUUGAAUGUGUUUCCAUCGAUCCUUUUUCUUCAUCAUUGUUAGGACUUACCAUCCUUCCUUUUGCUUUCAAGUUUGGAUUUGUAUAAGAACAAGGGAAAGUUCUAUGUCAUUCACAGUUUUGAUGAAUUGUAUGAGACAGACAUCCUUGAAAGCAGCCGCUCCCCCCCCCCCCAAAAUAUGAUCACCACAGGUUUUCAGAGAGGUAUCCAAAUACAAAUAAAAACUUACAGCUGCGUAGUUUUUGCAAAUUUUGUCCUUUGUCAAAUGAGAUUAGAAUGGCUUACAUUGGGUAAUUAUGGAGUCGGAUGAUGAAAAAUAUUUAAAAUUAAAUUUUUACUCAGGCAAAUAUUCACUAAAUUGAUCGCUGGAUCACAGCAAUUUAUGAUUUGGUCUAGACUACUUUGGUUCACGAACAAUUCAAAGAAUAAUUUUACGUAUUUGGACAUUUCCUUGCAACUUAUUUUUUGUGAUAGCCCAUGUUCACAUAUUUCCUCACUUGUUGCCUGGUUCCACAUUUUUGUCUACGUAUUAUCAAUAGCAAUGUUUAGCUCCAACCUGAGGGUUAAAGAUGCAUUAAGAUUUUUAACAUAGACAUUUUGGAGCGUUAAAUUUUGCAAGCAGCAAGGCACACUAGUAAUCCAAGCUGUGUCACAUUUGUGGAGCCGACAGGGUGUCUACAGGUCUAGACAAUCUAAAAAACAAGGGAUUUCAGUAGGUCAGGGAAAUCAGAAAAAGGUCAGAAAAUUUGAUGGAAAAGGCUGGAAUUUUUAAAUAUCUUAAUUCUAGAAACCUGGGAAAACGUCAGCGCUGCCCACACAAUCAAACCGCAUCUUUCAGCCUGGCUUGGAGUUCAGUUCCCUCAGUGACACUCUGCAAAGUGAAUAAAGGUUUAAUUUUUAAUUAAAAAUUGCAAUUUUAGUCAAUUGAAAGAUUUAUACCUGAAGAAAAAAGUUCACUCGUUUUUGUCAUUUGCAGUGAAAUUGAUGCCAAAUACACUUCAUUUUCAGCUCCCUGCCGGCUAAUUGUUUCGGCAAAAAGUCUGGGAAUUUUGAUUAUUUUGGCCAGGGAAAACCUGGAAAAGUUAGGAAAUGUUUUUCCUGUUAAGUCUGUAGACAUCCUGUUUUAAUGAAUUGUGUUAAUGGUGAUGAGUGAAAUUAAAGUAACGGUCAACAGCCAGUCAUGACAAAGAGUAACUUCUUCUCUUUUUUUUAAAUUUUUAGCAAACAAUGAUUUUCAAGGUCUCUCUAAAAAUUCAAGCUUGUUGAUUCUCUUGGGGUUCCGUGUAAUAUUGUUUUUCUGCUGGUACUAGUGUAUUAGUGUCAGCAAACUGAUCUCAAUUAUUGCAAAUAGAACUAAGAUCGUAUCCUUUAAAAUUUUGUAUGUAGUAAGAAGUGCAUUUCUCCUGUUAAAUAAAAAAUAUGCCAUCUUUCAUAACUGAUACAUUGUGACAGAGCCGAACUUUUAAUGGAGAUUCUUCUAUUGUAGAUCAAGUUUUGCCCAUGGAGCAAUGAAUUUAUUGGCAAAAAAUCGAAGCCCUUACGACAAAAUUCUAUAGCACUUCUUGAAAUCUCUUUGCAAGUCCCAAAUUACAGAAGAGCCUGGGUCAAACGAUCAAACUAAGCUCAUUAAUCCAACAAGGCCUCUGCCGUAUUGGUUGUGCGCUCACCAAUCAGAGCUUACCACCAUCAAAUUGACACGAGCCGCCUCUGUUCGCUAGAAUAUGGUAUUCUCGUUGUUUGGAUAGAGCAUGGGCUUAAAAGUCCAGGCUUUUGGCGCCUGCAGCCAGAACCAAUCCGACCUUGUUAGAUUGAUACGCUCAGUUUGCUUGUGUGAGCCAAGCCAUACUCAGGGUACUCAUCUCAGGAAAUCUCAAGGAUGUUUGCAGUCAAAAAAGUUUCAAGAAGUAUUUAAAAAUUUUAGCCUCAGGCUUACCGUCAAGUCUUGCUUAGCGUGUAUUGGUUUGUGGAGCAGUCUACCUCUUGAACUGUCAUUUUUCUCUCGCGUUCGGCGUUACUAAUUGACUUUGCAAUUUUGAACCACGAUUCUUCUCUCAAUGAUAUUGCCAGUGUUUGUCUGUAAGGAUUCGAUUCAAUAUAUUUCAGUUUAUACAGCCUUGUAUGAAUGAUUUUAUUUUAACCAUUACUCUUUCAUCUUAUUUGUAUAAUUGCUGGAGAUGCCUCGGCCUCCAAAAUUUAAUUAUAAGUCAUCCUUUUCAGAUGUCCCAUGGAAUCAUUAAAAAUACAGAUUUAUCACCUGA
This is an RNA transcript of Bemisia tabaci, 9511 nucleotides long. It is a transcript of the gene named luc7-like protein 3, with no coding region annotated. NCBI's taxonomy places the organism in Eukaryota, Metazoa, Arthropoda, Insecta, Hemiptera, Aleyrodidae. The record is from RefSeq and is a predicted model, not a curated record.